RNAcentral lists this transfer RNA (72 nucleotides) under Loxodonta africana (African savanna elephant). It matches the Rfam family "tRNA". From Rfam's summary of the family: Transfer RNA (tRNA) molecules are approximately 80 nucleotides in length. Their secondary structure includes four short double-helical elements and three loops (D, anti-codon, and T loops). Further hydrogen bonds mediate the characteristic L-shaped molecular structure. tRNAs have two regions of fundamental functional importance: the anti-codon, which is responsible for specific mRNA codon recognition, and the 3' end, to which the tRNAs corresponding amino acid is attached (by aminoacyl-tRNA synthetases). tRNAs cope with the degeneracy of the genetic code in two manners: having more than one tRNA (with a specific anti-codon) for a particular amino acid; and 'wobble' base-pairing, i.e. permitting non-standard base-pairing at the 3rd anti-codon position. The record is from Rfam by way of RNAcentral. Lineage: Eukaryota; Metazoa; Chordata; Mammalia; Proboscidea; Elephantidae.
GCAUUGGUGGUUCAGUGGAAGAAGUCUCACCUUCCAUGCUGCAGACACCAGGUUCAAUUCCUGGCCAAUGCA